UACGUAGGGGGCUAGCGUUGUCCGGAUUUAUUGGGCGUAAAGAGCGUGUAGGCGGCCAGGUAGGUCUGCUGUGAAAACUCGAGGCUCAACCUCGAGAGGUCGGUGGAAACCGUCUGGCUAGAGUCCGGAAGAGGAGAGUGGAAUUCCCGGUGUAGCGGUGAAAUGCGCAGAUAUCGGGAAGAACACCCGUGGCGAAGGCGGCUCUCUGGGACGGUACUGACGCUGAGACGCGAAAGCGUGGGGAGCGAACAGG
Molecule: ribosomal RNA, 253 nt
Filed under: uncultured bacterium
Lineage: Bacteria
Description: partial 16S ribosomal RNA
Rfam family: Bacterial small subunit ribosomal RNA
Source: RNAcentral